RNAcentral lists this ribosomal RNA (164 nucleotides) under Physalis greenmanii. Its description in RNAcentral is "5.8S ribosomal RNA gene". It matches the Rfam family "5.8S ribosomal RNA". From Rfam's summary of the family: 5.8S ribosomal RNA (5.8S rRNA) is a component of the large subunit of the eukaryotic ribosome. It is transcribed by RNA polymerase I as part of the 45S precursor that also contains 18S and 28S rRNA. Functionally, it is thought that 5.8S rRNA may be involved in ribosome translocation. Lineage: Eukaryota; Viridiplantae; Streptophyta; Magnoliopsida; Solanales; Solanaceae. The record is from RNAcentral.
GAACGACUCUCGGCAACGGAUAUCUCGGCUCUCGCAUCGAUGAAGAACGYAGCRAAAUGCGAUACUUGGUGUGAAUUGCAGAAUCCCGUGAACCAUCGAGUCUUUGAACGCAAGUUGCGCCCGAAGCCAUUAGGCCGAGGGCACGUCUGCCUGGGCGUCACGCA